RNAcentral lists this long non-coding RNA (3933 nucleotides) under Salmo salar (Atlantic salmon). Its description in RNAcentral is "lncRNA (ENSSSAG00000111527.1)". Lineage: Eukaryota; Metazoa; Chordata; Actinopteri; Salmoniformes; Salmonidae. The record is from RNAcentral.
GAAAAAGCUGAAUGAUGUCGAGGCAGCCCCUGGCUGAAAAACAUUAGCGCCUUUGGUAAGUGGUCUAUCAGAGGACAAUGAGACUGAGGCGCGUGCACGAGUGUUAAAGGAAUUUUAUAUCUUGAUGAUAAUUAUCAAUAAUCAAUUCGCCUUGACUAAUGCCCAAAGUUUGUAAGACAAUGGGUUCAAAUAAUUAGGCAAGGACUCAGCUUUCUGCAAAAGGUAUCUGUAGCUUUAUUCAGAGAACGUUCUGAGGUCAGGAUAACAAAACAGUCAUUAUAUAGUUCUUGCUUACUUACGCACAUGCAUUUACACACAAUCCGUUGGUGACCUGCAUCCCCCAUAAACUUCUGACAUUGUUUAUCACUAUCCAGAGCUCAGCCUGUUCUUUUCCCUCAAGGUUAGGACUCUUUGAAGCUUUUACUCCCUUGACCAUCUGUCUCCUGCUGUCCCUCCUAAUGGCAUACACACAUUUCUUUCCCUCUCCAGUGGUUCCUGGACUUUCCGGAACUAAUCAGACUAAUCGAUCCCUACAUUGAUCAUUACAUUGAUUAUUCAUUAAACCUGCUGUAUGACUAAUAAUUCAUCAUGGUUUAUUGAUUCAUUUACCUUUAUUAGAUAAUUCUCUUAUCAAUUCCACCCUUAAAUGAUUCAAUAAUUCACCAUGAUAUGAUCAGAUGCUAUCUGAGAACCCUACUAAUCACACGCUAUAUGUAAAUACAAUAAUCAAACACUAUAUGGGAUUACAUAACGAUUAUCACAUACUAUGAGUAUUCACUAACAAUCACAUGCUAUAUGGAAAUUCAUUGUGAUACAAGGAUUAAACAAGUCCAAUACAUGAAUAUUCCUCCUAUACCCAUCAAUGACAGUCCUAGGCCUAUUUCCAAUUAUGACACUUCGAUUCAGGAUUUUCAUCAUAAUUUUCAUUAAAGGAACAGUCUAUCAAAACGUUGAAAAUUCAAUCAAACAUUGAAAAUUGUUUAAUCAAACAUUGGCUCCUCGUUAUUGAAAGAGACGGAGCCAUCUUCCUGGCCUGGAGGCCCGCAUUCGCCAUCCCACUCAUCGGAGCUCGGAAUCGGUCCAUAUCUCACCAACUGCUGCGUCAUCGAUCUAGAGUCCUGGUGAUUAAACCUCUCACACACGGGACCAAACAACAUCCACACAACACAAACACACUCAUACAGGUGAAAGCAGCCCAUAAUACAGUUCUUACAACACUUUUCCAUUUCCCAAACAUGGGAUGUGUUAUCAGGAAUGUACGUGUAGCGCUGAACCUAAUCAUUCUACCUACACUGCCCUCUUCUGCCAAUAACAUAUCGAGAGUCAGUCUAUUUUACCAGGUCAUGAGGGUGGUGGUGGAUAAUUGGUCAGAGAACCUCUUUACGGCAUCCCCGGUUUCAUUCAUGAAUCUCUGUUGAUUAUAAAAGAUGUCAUUAAUCCAAUCCACAUUUCUAUUUAUUGUCAACCACCGAAAUAAUGUAGUGUUAAAGCCUUCACAUAUUUGAUUCAUAGCGUUGUAUUCAUCUGGAACUUCCCUGAGGAUGCCAAUAGCAUCCCUCUAGACAAAGCUACUCCCAUCCUGGUCAAAACUCCUCCUGUGCCUACUUUAGCCUCCUAUAACUGGCCUCUGAUGACUAACUCGAACUGGUUGGACCAAUAACCCCAGGGCGCAAGCUAACCACCCUUUGUGGUAAUUUCCGUCGUAUGCGUCCUUUGCUGGUACUAGCCCACCCUUCAUCAGUUAUAGGUGCUGUGAGGUUAAGAAUGUUCUAUUCAUCUCUCAAACCUAAGUCAGUCACAUUACCAAUUACCUUUCAGUCAUUAAAAUCAUCAAAGUUCUCGGUGCCAUUCUUGUAUCUAUAACACUGGUAUUCAUCCGGAAUUUAGGUGAACCGAGGUGGGUUGGCUGAGUACUUCAAUCUGGCCAACCCCAAUUCCUGUACAGUUGUCUGCUUCCCCAGGAAAUUGUUUAAUGUUUACCUUAAAUUUUUCGUCUUGAUCUUCUUUGAUUCCUUAUUCUGUAAGUCACUCAUCAGUGUAUUAUAUAGUUUAUCUUUUACUUCUACUCAAUGACAACGGUAUCCUAUGAUUAGUACCGGAAGGUGGUGGAUCUGAAUGUAUCAGAAAGGUUACCAAAACUAUGAUGCAGCUCAGAAUUUCUACUCUUCCCAAAAACCGCCAACCCUCUCCUGCCCUUAGUCGAUCUGCUAGGUACCACCCCAUACUCACACCUCUAGGAGCACACACAGUGAUGUACGGUCGGGAUAGGAAAUCUUCGUUAAGGAGGUAACCCCCGGACCCUGUUGGUAUCGGUUCUUCUCCUAACUCUGUGUGUGAUCAGCAGGGUUCAUAUGUGUACAUACCUCCUUGCAGUGGGUAACGUGGACCCAAGUGACUCUUUCAGCUUUUCUAAUGGCAAAGGCAGUGGUUUAACAGAACCUGGUAUGGGCCUUCCCAACGGGGCUGCUUCCUGUCUUUUCUCCUCAGGGACUGGAUCCACACCCAGUCUCCUGGUUGUACUGAGUGAAUCACCUUCUCCUGUAAUUCACCUGUUGGACACAAAAUCUUGGACAUACGGGUUUGUUUAACAAACAGUCUUCUCAUGUGCUCUGCUAGUAUAUCUUUAACUUCUAUGUCUACCUGUUCUGGUCUCUCUAACUCUGGCAUUCUAUAGGCUCUACUUGAUUAGCUAAAAUGUCAUCCAUCAUUUAAAGAGAUAGAUGCUAGUAAACCAACUCUAGGGAUAAUAUCUUGUCCUAAUAUUCUAGCUACCAUAAUCAUGUCCACCAAGUAAGUUGGGAACGCUUCUACCCAUUUGCUAUACCUAUCUAUUAUUGUUAACCUGUUAGGGCUAGGGGGCAGUAUUGACACGGCUGGAUAAAAAACAUACCCGAUUUAAUCUGGUUACCACUCCUACCCAGUAACUAGAAUAUGCAUAUACUUAUUACAUAUGGAUAGAAAACACCCUAAAGUUUCUAAAACUGUUUGAAUGGUGUCUGUGAGUAUAACAGAACUCAAAUGGCAGGUCAAAACCUGAGAGAUUCCUUUACAGGAAGUGGCCUGUCUGACCAUUUCUUGAACUUCUUUUCCAUCUCUAUCUUUUACUAAGGAUCUCUGCUCUAACGUGACACUUCCUAUGUCGUCCAUAGGCGCUCAGAGCCCGGGAAAAAACAGAAUGUCGUCAUUCCAGCCCCAGGCUGAAACACAUUAUCGCCUUUCUCAAGUGGCUGAUCAAGGGACACUGGGCUUAGGCGCGUGACCCGACCGCCCCCGCCUUUGUGAUUUUUUCCUCUGUUUGCCGAAAAGGAGAUUCCCUGUCGGAAUAUUAUCGCUUUUCUACGAGAAAAAUGGCGUAAAAAUUGAUUUUAACCUCUAUGGGCUAGGUGGGACGCUAGCGUGCCACCCGUGGUGCACUCCAUCAACAGCAGGUGCAUUUCAAGAGCGGCAAAUUUGAAUCCAAAUAAAUGUCAAAAUUCAAAUUUUUCAAACAUACAACUAUUUUACACCCUUUGAAAGAUAAACAUCUCCUUAAUCUAACCACGUUUUACGAUUUCAAAAAGGUUUUACGGCGAAAGCAUAAAUUUAGAGUAUGUUAGGACAGUACAUUUACAAGAGUUGUGUGUAAUGUUUUGUCAAUUCAAAGACAGGGUCACCAAAACCAUAAAACCAGCUAAAAUGAUGCACUAACCUUUUACAAUCUCCAUCAGAUGACACUCCUAGGACAUUAUGUUAGACAAUGCAUGCAUUUUUAGUUCUAUCAAGUUCAUAUUUAUAUCCAAAAACAGCGUUUUACUAUGGCAUUGAUGUUGAGGAAAUCGUUUCCCUCCAAUAACCGGCAGUCAAGUCAGCGCCACAAAUUAAAUAAUUAAAAUUAGAAAACAUUGGUAAAAUAUUAUAUUGUCAUUUAAAGAAUUAUAGAUUUACAUCUCUUGA